UAAGGGAUAUUGCGACAAUGGGCGCAAGCCUGACGCAGCAACGCCGCGUGCGGGAUGACGGCCUUCGGGUUGUAAACCGCUUUUCUGGGGGAAGAGGCAGGACGGUACCUCAGGAAGAAGUCUCGGCUAACUACGUG
This 137-nucleotide ribosomal RNA is filed under the name uncultured bacterium. RNAcentral's name for it is "partial 16S ribosomal RNA". It matches the Rfam family "Bacterial small subunit ribosomal RNA", at positions 355 to 507 of the family's 1533-position model. The record is from RNAcentral.